RNAcentral lists this ribosomal RNA (489 nucleotides) under uncultured bacterium. RNAcentral describes it as "partial 16S ribosomal RNA". It matches the Rfam family "Bacterial small subunit ribosomal RNA", at positions 28 to 523 of the family's 1533-position model. The record is from RNAcentral.
GACGAACGCUGGCGGCGCGCUUAACACAUGCAAGUCGAGCGGAAAGGCCCUUUCGGGGGUACUCGAGCGGCGAACGGGUGAGUAACACGUGAGUAAUCUGCCCUUGGCUUUGGGAUAACCACCGGAAACGGUGGCUAAUACCGGAUAUGACGCGCUCCGGCAUCGGGGUGUGUGGAAAGUCUCUUCGGCCAGGGAUGUGCUCGCGGCCUAUCAGCUUGUUGGUGGGUUAAUGGCCUACCAAGGCUUCGACGGGUAGCCGGCCUGAGAGGGUGGCCGGCCACACUGGGACUGAGACACGGCCCAGACUCCUACGGGAGGCAGCAGUGGGGAAUAUUGGACAAUGGGCGGAAGCCUGAUCCAGCAACGCCGCGUGAGGGAUGACGGCCUUCGGGUUGUAAACCUCUUUCAGUACCGACGAAGCGCCGAUGAUGGUGGUGACGGUAGGUACAGAAGAAGCACCGGCCAACUACGUGCCAGCCGCCGCCGUAA